UGGCAGUCAGAGGCGAUGAAGGACGUGCUAAUCUGCGAUAAGCGUCGGUAAGGUGAUAUGAACCGUUAUAACCGGCGAUUUCCGAAUGGGGAAACCCAGUGUGAUUCGUCACACUAUCAUUAACUGAAUCCAUAGGUUAAUGAGGCGAACCGGGGGAACUGAAACAUCUAAGUACCCCGAGGAAAAGAAAUCAACCGAGAUUCCCCCAGUAGCGGCGAGCGAACGGGGAGCAGCCCAGAGCCUGAAUCAGUGUGUGUGUUAGUGGAAGCGUCUGGAAAGGCGUGCGAUACAGGGUGACAGCCCCGUACACAAAAAUGCACAUACUGUGAGCUCGAUGAGUAGGGCGGGACACGUGGUAUCCUGUCUGAAUAUGGGGGGACCAUCCUCCAAGGCUAAAUACUCCUGACUGACCGAUAGUGAACCAGUACCGUGAGGGAAAGGCGAAAAGAACCCCGGCGAGGGGAGUGAAAAAGAACCUGAAACCGUGUACGUACAAGCAGUGGGAGCACGCUUAGGCGUGUGACUGCGUACCUUUUGUAUAAUGGGUCAGCGACUUAUAUUCUGUAGCAAGGUUAACCGAAUAGGGGAGCCGAAGGGAAACCGAGUCUUAACUGGGCGUUAAGUUGCAGGGUAUAGACCCGAAACCCGGUGAUCUAGCCAUGGGCAGGUUGAAGGUUGGGUAACACUAACUGGAGGACCGAACCGACUAAUGUUGAAAAAUUAGCGGAUGACUUGUGGCUGGGGGUGAAAGGCCAAUCAAACCGGGAGAUAGCUGGUUCUCCCCGAAAGCUAUUUAGGUAGCGCCUCGUGAAUUCAUCUCCGGGGGUAGAGCACUGUUUCGGCAAGGGGGUCAUCCCGACUUACCAACCCGAUGCAAACUGCGAAUACCGGAGAAUGUUAUCACGGGAGACACACGGCGGGUGCUAACGUCCGUCGUGAAGAGGGAAACAACCCAGACCGCCAGCUAAGGUCCCAAAGUCAUGGUUAAGUGGGAAACGAUGUGGGAAGGCCCAGACAGCCAGGAUGUUGGCUUAGAAGCAGCCAUCAUUUAAAGAAAGCGUAAUAGCUCACUGGUCGAGUCGGCCUGCGCGGAAGAUGUAACGGGGCUAAACCAUGCACCGAAGCUGCGGCAGCGACGCUUAUGCGUUGUUGGGUAGGGGAGCGUUCUGUAAGCCUGUGAAGGUGUGCUGUGAGGUAUGCUGGAGGUAUCAGAAGUGCGAAUGCUGACAUAAGUAACGAUAAAGCGGGUGAAAAGCCCGCUCGCCGGAAGACCAAGGGUUCCUGUCCAACGUUAAUCGGGGCAGGGUGAGUCGACCCCUAAGGCGAGGCCGAAAGGCGUAGUCGAUGGGAAACAGGUUAAUAUUCCUGUACUUGGUGUUACUGCGAAGGGGGGACGGAGAAGGCUAUGUUGGCCGGGCGACGGUUGUCCCGGUUUAAGCGUGUAGGCUGGUUUUCCAGGCAAAUCCGGAAAAUCAAGGCCGAGGCGUGAUGACGAGGCACUACGGUGCUGAAGCAACAAAUGCCCUGCUUCCAGGAAAAGCCUCUAAGCAUCAGGUAACAUCAAAUCGUACCCCAAACCGACACAGGUGGUCAGGUAGAGAAUACCAAGGCGCUUGAGAGAACUCGGGUGAAGGAACUAGGCAAAAUGGUGCCGUAACUUCGGGAGAAGGCACGCUGAUACGUAGGUGAAGCGACUUGCUCGUGGAGCUGAAAUCAGUCGAAGAUACCAGCUGGCUGCAACUGUUUAUUAAAAACACAGCACUGUGCAAACACGAAAGUGGACGUAUACGGUGUGACGCCUGCCCGGUGCCGGAAGGUUAAUUGAUGGGGUUAGCGCAAGCGAAGCUCUUGAUCGAAGCCCCGGUAAACGGCGGCCGUAACUAUAACGGUCCUAAGGUAGCGAAAUUCCUUGUCGGGUAAGUUCCGACCUGCACGAAUGGCGUAAUGAUGGCCAGGCUGUCUCCACCCGAGACUCAGUGAAAUUGAACUCGCUGUGAAGAUGCAGUGUACCCGCGGCAAGACGGAAAGACCCCGUGAACCUUUACUAUAGCUUGACACUGAACAUUGAGCCUUGAUGUGUAGGAUAGGUGGGAGGCUUUGAAGUGUGGACGCCAGUCUGCAUGGAGCCGACCUUGAAAUACCACCCUUUAAUGUUUGAUGUUCUAACGUGGACCCGUGAUCCGGGUUGCGGACAGUGUCUGGUGGGUAGUUUGACUGGGGCGGUCUCCUCCUAAAGAGUAACGGAGGAGCACGAAGGUUGGCUAAUCCUGGUCGGACAUCAGGAGGUUAGUGCAAUGGCAUAAGCCAGCUUGACUGCGAGCGUGACGGCGCGAGCAGGUGCGAAAGCAGGUCAUAGUGAUCCGGUGGUUCUGAAUGGAAGGGCCAUCGCUCAACGGAUAAAAGGUACUCCGGGGAUAACAGGCUGAUACCGCCCAAGAGUUCAUAUCGACGGCGGUGUUUGGCACCUCGAUGUCGGCUCAUCACAUCCUGGGGCUGAAGUAGGUCCCAAGGGUAUGGCUGUUCGCCAUUUAAAGUGGUACGCGAGCUGGGUUUAGAACGUCGUGAGACAGUUCGGUCCCUAUCUGCCGUGGGC
RNAcentral lists this ribosomal RNA (2593 nucleotides) under Escherichia coli. RNAcentral describes it as "partial 23S ribosomal RNA". It matches the Rfam family "Bacterial large subunit ribosomal RNA", at positions 34 to 2652 of the family's 2925-position model. RNAcentral also lists the same sequence under 1 other name. The record is from RNAcentral. Lineage: Bacteria; Pseudomonadati; Pseudomonadota; Gammaproteobacteria; Enterobacterales; Enterobacteriaceae.